GUGGGGAAUAUUGGACAAUGGGCGAAAGCCUGAUCCAACCAUGCCGCGUGUGUGAAGAAGGUCUUCGGAUUGUAAAGCACUUUAAGUUGGGAGGAAGGGCAGUAAGUUAAUACCUUGCUGUUUUGACGUUACCGACAGAAUAAGCACCGGCUAACUUCGUGCCAGCAGCCGCGGUAAUACGAAGGGUGCAAGCGUUAAUCGGAAUUACUGGGCGUAAAGCGCGCGUAGGUGGUUUUGUAAGUUGGAGGUGAAAUCCCCGGGCUCAACCUGGGAACUGCCUCCAAAACUGCAUGACUAGAGUACGGUAGAGGGUAGUGGAAUUUCCUGUGUAGCGGUGAAAUGCGUAGAUAUAGGAAGGAACACCAGUGGCGAAGGCGACUACCUGGACUGAUACUGACACUGAGGUGCGAAAGCGUGGGGAGCAAACAGGAUUAGAAACCCGGGUAGUCC
RNAcentral lists this ribosomal RNA (450 nucleotides) under uncultured bacterium. RNAcentral's name for it is "bacterial SSU rRNA". It matches the Rfam family "Bacterial small subunit ribosomal RNA", at positions 354 to 796 of the family's 1533-position model. The record is from RNAcentral.